This 1080-nucleotide long non-coding RNA is filed under the name Anser cygnoides (Swan goose). RNAcentral describes it as "lncRNA (ENSACDG00005014839.1)". Lineage: Eukaryota; Metazoa; Chordata; Aves; Anseriformes; Anatidae. The record is from RNAcentral.
AUGGUGCUGGAAGGGAGCAGAGCCCGCCAGCACAUCCCCGUUCUCCCAUGGGUGGGGUCUGGGAGCAGGGACCCACCACGUUGGGUGCCAGCACCUCAGCCCCCCCCCCCCCGGCACAGCCCCGUAGGGCUGCAACCCUUCAGCGCUGUGGUUAGGGGGAAUGCAGCCCUGGGUGUUGCGGUGGGACGUGUGGUUUUCCUGGAGGGACCCCGAGAAGUGCCUCGUGGUGGCUUUGUCCCCACGUGGAGGGCAGGGUCCCCCCCGGCCCGGGGUGCUGCUCCCAGCUCCGGUCCCGCGCUGUGCGUGCUCACACCAGGGGUGAUGUCUGUCCUCACCCCCACCCCAGCGGUGCUGUUACCCACUGGGGCGCAAAGGGGGAACUCUGGAGAGCGCUCGGGUUCAUUUACAACAAUAAAAAAAAAAAAAGAAGGCAAGGCAAGGAAACCCAUCUGCAAUCUCAGCUCACCCCGCAGGGCCCAGCCUCUCCCCUCGCAGGGCGCAGCUGCGCACCCACCCCCUGCCACCCCCCGGUGCCUGUCCCUCCUGCACCCACGCGGGGCCACCAAGGAAAGCCCCAGUGCGGCCCCCCACCCCCCUCACCCCCUGCCUGCCAGGCACCCAGGGCUGGUCCCCGUGUCCCCGUGUCCCCAUCUCAGCCUGCGCCCAUUGUCCUGCCCUUCCUCCCGCCCGCCCCGGGGCCGGGGGAAAACAGGAAGCUCUCCCCAGCAUGCGGCUGCGGAAAUGAGACAAACGGGCUGGAGCGGCCGCGAGGACGGCGGGCGGAAGCGGACAGGAUAUUUGGAACGGCCGGCGAAUUCUUGGGCUUAUCUCUGCGCCGCAGAGGCCCAGGAGUCCUUACAAAACAGCGCCCAGCUGGAGCGAGGCCCGCGGCCGGCACCGGGGCUGGGGCUGCGUCCUCGUCCCGUGGCACCGCGCGUCGUGGCGGGGUGCUGGCGGCAAGGAGGGGACGCCCCCGGCAUGGGGAGGGAUGGGGGCAGUGGGAGGGAUGGGGGCUGCGGGAGCCCCGCUCCUGGCUCUGCAAUGCGUGCCCUUGGAGCGGGCGUUGGGUGCCCCCGGUGA